This is a long non-coding RNA of Erigeron canadensis, 294 nucleotides long. RefSeq lists it as uncharacterized. Lineage: Eukaryota; Viridiplantae; Streptophyta; Magnoliopsida; Asterales; Asteraceae. The transcript has 4 exons. The record is from RefSeq and is a predicted model, not a curated record.
GCAAUAUAUGCAAUUUUUCGUUUUCGCAGCAGGACGUGAAUAACAUGACUGGAUGUUCGAGAAAGAUUUCAGCUAUAUGAGUAAUCAUGGAUAGAGAAACUGGCACGUCCAAGGUUUUGGCUUUGUUACUCUUGGUGACACCGAGGCUGCUUUUGCUACCAUGGAGUCAAUGGAUCAAUGGGAGUUACAUGGCCAAACUCUUAGGGUGAACUACACCAAAUCAGAGGUCACAAAGUGGAGUAGGUUUUCAAAGGGAUAAGUGUUGUAAAAGGACAGCUAUGCAAUUUUCUAAGG